Molecule: ribosomal RNA, 253 nt
Filed under: uncultured bacterium
Lineage: Bacteria
Description: partial 16S ribosomal RNA
Rfam family: Bacterial small subunit ribosomal RNA
Source: RNAcentral
UACGAAGGGGGCUAGCGUUGUUCGGAAUCACUGGGCGUAAAGCGCACGUAGGCGGAUUCGUAAGUCAGGGGUGAAAUCCCGGGGCUCAACCUCGGAACUGCCUUUGAUACUGCGGGUCUUGAGUCCGAUAGAGGUGGGUGGAAUUCCUAGUGUAGAGGUGAAAUUCGUAGAUAUUAGGAAGAACACCGGUGGCGAAGGCGGCCCACUGGAUCGGUACUGACGCUGAGGUGCGAAAGCGUGGGGAGCAAACAGG